RNAcentral lists this transfer RNA (69 nucleotides) under Tridentiger bifasciatus (Shimofuri goby). RNAcentral describes it as "tRNA-Met". The record is from RNAcentral. Lineage: Eukaryota; Metazoa; Chordata; Actinopteri; Gobiiformes; Gobiidae.
AGCAAAGUCAGCUAAAAAAGCUCUUGGGUCCAUACCCCAAUCAUGUUGGUGAAAUCCCCGCCUUUGCUA